GACGAACGCUGGCGGCAUGCUUAACACAUGCAAGUCGAACGGAGUUCCUUGGAUAGAGGCUUCGGCCAAUUGAAAUGGAACUUAGUGGCGGACUGGUGAGUAACGCGUGAGGAACCUGCCUUUCAGAGGGGGACAACAGUUGGAAACGACUGCUAAUACCGCAUGACACAUUCGGAUGGCAUCACCUGAAUGUCAAAGAUUUUAUCGCUGAAAGAUGGCCUCGCGUCUGAUUAGCUAGUUGGUGGGGUAACGGCCCACCAAGGCGACGAUCAGUAGCCGGUCUGAGAGGAUGAACAGCCACAUUGGGACUGAGAUACGGCCCAGACUCCUACGGGAGGCAGCAGUGGGGAAUAUUGGGCAAUGGGGGAAACCCUGACCCAGCAACGCCGCGUGAAGGAAGAAGGCCUCGGGUUGGUAAACUUACUUUACCUAGGACGAAGACGUGACGGUACCUGGAGAAAAGCAACGGCUAACUACGUGCCAGCAGCCGCGGU
RNAcentral lists this ribosomal RNA (494 nucleotides) under uncultured bacterium. RNAcentral describes it as "bacterial SSU rRNA". It matches the Rfam family "Bacterial small subunit ribosomal RNA", at positions 28 to 521 of the family's 1533-position model. The record is from RNAcentral.